Molecule: ribosomal RNA, 416 nt
Filed under: uncultured bacterium
Lineage: Bacteria
Description: bacterial SSU rRNA
Rfam family: Bacterial small subunit ribosomal RNA
Source: RNAcentral
GAGCGGGCGUAGCAAUACGUAAGCGGCAGACGGGUGAGUAACGCGUGGGAACGUACCUUUUGGUUCGGAACAACACAGGGAAACUUGUGCUAAUACCGGAUAAGCCCUUACGGGGAAAGAUUUAUCGCCGAAAGAUCGGCCCGCGUCUGAUUAGCUAGUUGGUGAGGUAACGGCUCACCAAGGCGACGAUCAGUAGCUGGUCUGAGAGGAUGAUCAGCCACAUUGGGACUGAGACACGGCCCAAACUCCUACGGGAGGCAGCAGUGGGGAAUAUUGGACAAUGGGCGCAAGCCUGAUCCAGCCAUGCCGCGUGAGUGAUGAAGGCCCUAGGGUUGUAAAGCUCUUUUGUGCGGGAAGAUAAUGACGGUACCGCAAGAAUAAGCCCCGGCUAACUUCGUGCCAGCAGCCGCGGUAAU